Molecule: ribosomal RNA, 505 nt
Filed under: uncultured bacterium
Lineage: Bacteria
Description: partial 16S ribosomal RNA
Rfam family: Bacterial small subunit ribosomal RNA
Source: RNAcentral
GAUGAGCGCUAGCUACAGGCUUAACACAUGCAAGUCGAGGGGUAACGAGAGGAAAGCUUGCUUUCCUUGUCGACGACCGGCGCACGGGCGAGUGACGCGUAUCCAACCUGCCCCCAACUAGGGAAUAACCUUGCGAAAGUAAGACUAAUACCCUAUAAUUUCCUCAGAUGCCAUCUGACGAGGAAUAAAGAUUUAUCGGUUGUGGAUGGGGAUGCGUCUGAUUAGCUUGUUGGCGGGUAACGGCCCACCAAGGCAACGAUCAGUAGGGGUUCUGAGAGGAAGGUCCCCCACAUUGGAACUGAGACACGGUCCAAACUCCUACGGGAGGCAGCAGUGAGGAAUAUUGGUCAAUGGGCGGAAGCCUGAACCAGCCAAGUAGCGUGCAGGAUGACGGCCCUAUGGGUUGUAAACUGCUUUUAUACAGGAAUAAAGUUAGCCACGUGUGGUUAUUUGUAGGUACUGUAUGAAUAAGGACCGGCUAAUUCCGUGCCAGCCGCCGCCGUAA